Galeopterus variegatus (Sunda flying lemur) is the source of this 423-nucleotide non-coding RNA. Lineage: Eukaryota; Metazoa; Chordata; Mammalia; Dermoptera; Cynocephalidae. The record is from the annotation of a RefSeq genome assembly.
AGUAUUAGGAUGAAAUACAGAAGGGAGGACCCUCAAUUUUAUUUUAUUUUUUCUUUCUUCCUUUUUUUCUUUUUAAUCUCAGGUACUUCUGGUGACAUUGUGUUGAAUCAGUCUCCCUCCUCUCUGUCUGGGGCUCCUGGAGAGAAAAUCACCAUCACCUGCACAGCCAAAGUGUCAAGCACCCUGGUGGGAAAACCUAACUGAGCUGGUUCCAACAGAAAAGUGGACGAGUUAAGCAACUCAUUUACCAAGUUUCCAACUUACAGACUGGAGUCCCAUCGCGGUUCAGUGGCAGUGGGUCUGACAGAGAUUUCAGCCUCACCAUCAGCAGCCUGGAGGGUGAAGAUGCCUCUGUCUAUUACUGUGGGCAAGGUUCCUAUAGUCCGAGGACGUUCGGCAAAGGGACAACGUUGGAAGUCAAAC